Molecule: ribosomal RNA, 708 nt
Filed under: Micromonospora viridifaciens
Lineage: Bacteria; Bacillati; Actinomycetota; Actinomycetes; Micromonosporales; Micromonosporaceae
Also listed under: 1 other name
Description: bacterial SSU rRNA
Rfam family: Bacterial small subunit ribosomal RNA
Source: RNAcentral
UGCAAGUCGAGCGGAAAGGCCCUUCGGGGUACUCGAGCGGCGAACGGGUGAGUAACACGUGAGCAACCUGCCCUAGGCUUUGGGAUAACCCCGGGAAACCGGGGCUAAUACCGAAUAUGACCUCUGGUCGCAUGACUGGUGGUGGAAAGUUUUUCGGCCUGGGAUGGGCUCGCGGCCUAUCAGCUUGUUGGUGGGGUGAUGGCCUACCAAGGCGACGACGGGUAGCCGGCCUGAGAGGGCGACCGGCCACACUGGGACUGAGACACGGCCCAGACUCCUACGGGAGGCAGCAGUGGGGAAUAUUGCACAAUGGGCGGAAGCCUGAUGCAGCGACGCCGCGUGAGGGAUGACGGCCUUCGGGUUGUAAACCUCUUUCAGCAGGGACGAAGCGUAAGUGACGGUACCUGCAGAAGAAGCGCCGGCCAACUACGUGCCAGCAGCCGCGGUAAGACGUAGGGCGCGAGCGUUGUCCGGAUUUAUUGGGCGUAAAGAGCUCGUAGGCGGCUUGUCGCGUCGACUGUGAAAACCCGCAGCUCAACUGCGGGCCUGCAGUCGAUACGGGCAGGCUAGAGUUCGGUAGGGGAGACUGGAAUUCCUGGUGUAGCGGUGAAAUGCGCAGAUAUCAGGAGGAACACCGGUGGCGAAGGCGGGUCUCUGGGCCGAUACUGACGCUGAGGAGCGAAAGCGUGGGGAGCGAACAGGAUUAGA